RNAcentral lists this ribosomal RNA (254 nucleotides) under uncultured bacterium. Its description in RNAcentral is "partial 16S ribosomal RNA". It matches the Rfam family "Bacterial small subunit ribosomal RNA", at positions 524 to 776 of the family's 1533-position model. The record is from RNAcentral.
UACGUAGGGGGCAAGCGUUGUCCGGAAUCAUUGGGCGUAAAGAGCGUGUAGGCGGUCCGGUCAGUCGGUUGUGAAAGUCAAGGGCUCAACCCCUUGAAUGCCGGCCGAUACUGCCGGGCUAGAGUCCGGAAGAGGUGAGUGGAAUUCCUGGUGUAGCGGUGAAAUGCGCAGAUAUCAGGAGGAACACCGAUGGCGAAGGCAGCUCACUGGGACGGUACUGACGCUGAGACGCGAAAGCGUGGGGAGCAAACAGG